RNAcentral lists this ribosomal RNA (253 nucleotides) under uncultured bacterium. RNAcentral describes it as "partial 16S ribosomal RNA". It matches the Rfam family "Bacterial small subunit ribosomal RNA", at positions 524 to 776 of the family's 1533-position model. The record is from RNAcentral.
UACGGAGGGUGCAAGCGUUGUCCGGAAUCAUUGGGUGUAAAGGGCGCGUAGGCUGUUCAGUAAGUCGAGGGUUAAAUCUUUAAGCUUAACUUAAAAUCUGCCUUCGAUACUGCUAAACUAGAGCACAAGAGAGGAGAUCGGAAUUCCCGGUGUAACGGUGGAAUGUGUAGAUAUCGGGAAGAACACCAGUGGCGAAAGCGGUUCUCUGGCUUGAUGCUGACGCUGAGGCGCGAAAGCGUGGGGAGCAAACAGG